AUGAACGCUGGCGGCGUGCCUAAUACAUGCAAGUCGAGCGAACAGACGAGGAGCUUGCUCCUCUGACGUUAGCGGCGGACGGGUGAGUAACACGUGGAUAACCUACCUAUAAGACUGGGAUAACUUCGGGAAACCGGAGCUAAUACCGGAUAAUAUAUUGAACCGCAUGGUUCAAUAGUGAAAGACGGUUUUGCUGUCACUUAUAGAUGGAUCCGCGCCGCAUUAGCUAGUUGGUAAGGUAACGGCUUACCAAGGCAACGAUGCGUAGCCGACCUGAGAGGGUGAUCGGCCACACUGGAACUGAGACACGGUCCAGACUCCUACGGGAGGCAGCAGUAGGGAAUCUUCCGCAAUGGGCGAAAGCCUGACGGAGCAACGCCGCGUGAGUGAUGAAGGUCUUCGGAUCGUAAAACUCUGUUAUUAGGGAAGAACAAAUGUGUAAGUAACUAUGCACGUCUUGACGGUUCCUAAUCAGAAAGCCACGGCUAACUACGUG
RNAcentral lists this ribosomal RNA (496 nucleotides) under uncultured bacterium. Its description in RNAcentral is "partial 16S ribosomal RNA". It matches the Rfam family "Bacterial small subunit ribosomal RNA", at positions 29 to 507 of the family's 1533-position model. The record is from RNAcentral.